RNAcentral lists this ribosomal RNA (728 nucleotides) under uncultured Candidatus Poseidoniales archaeon. Its description in RNAcentral is "bacterial SSU rRNA". It matches the Rfam family "Archaeal small subunit ribosomal RNA", at positions 194 to 923 of the family's 1478-position model. Lineage: Archaea; Methanobacteriati; Thermoplasmatota; Candidatus Poseidoniia; Candidatus Poseidoniales. The record is from RNAcentral.
CUCCGGCGGCACAGGAUGGGUCUGCGGCGUAUCAGGUUGUAGGGGGUGUAAAGGACCCUCUAGCCAUUGACGCGUACGGGUUGUGGGAGCAAUCGCCCGGAGAUGGAUUCUGAGACACGAAUCCAGACCCUACGGGGUGCAGCAGGCGCGGAAACUUCACACUGCGGGAAACCGUGAUGAGGGAACUCCAAGUGUUUGCACUAUGUGCAAUCUUUUCUUGACUUUUAAUAGGUCUUGGUAAUAAGGGGUGGGAAAGACCGGUGCCAGCCGCCGCGGUAAUACCGGCACCCCAAGUGGUCGUCGCUUUUAUUGGGCCUAAAACGUCCGUAGCCUGUUUGGUAAACCCGUGGGUAAAUCAACAUGCUCAACAUGUUGACUUCUGCGGAGACUGCCAGACUAGGGACCGGGAGAGGUGUGGGGUACUCAUGGGGUAGGGGUAAAAUCCUGUCAUCCCAUGAGGACCACCUGUUGCGAAGGCGCCACACUGGAACGGAUCCGACGGUCAGGGACGAAGCCUAGGGGCACGAACCGGAUUAGAUACCCGGGUAGUCCUAGGUGUAAACGCUGUGGACUUGGUGUUGGGGAUCCGACAUGGGUCUCCAGUGCCGCAGCGAAGGUGUUAAGUCCACUGCCUGGGGAGUACGGUCGCAAGGCUGAAACUUAAAGGAAUUGGCGGGGGAGCACUGCAACGGGAGGAGCGUGCGGUUUAAUUGGACUCAACGCCGGGA